GGCGUGGUGGGCCGGAGCGCGGCAUGCUGGGAGCUGUAGUCCCCUUCCCCCGCCGUCUCAGCGCCCUCCGCUAUCAUGGCCCUCAGGGUCUCUGCUCCUGUAGAGUUUCGCAACGACGUGCUGUGGGCACACGUGAGGGUGGCAGGGCUGCCCUGCCCGCUGAGUAACAGCUGAGUAACCCCCGGUGGGGAGCAGCCGCCGCUGUGGGGUGGAGCUGGAGAGAAGAGGGGCAAGGACCGCUGCGAAGCUGUAAAACGAUUUAAACACGAGUAUAGUACAACAUGCAGUACUCCACGGUCCAUCAUCACUAAAAUGGCUGGAUCAUAACCCACCAUAAGCUUUCUUCUCACCAGAAAGCAAGUAUGGAUUGGAGAGCUGAAUACAGAACAGAACUUCGUGGUGCCAGACAGACCCAAGCUACAGAACCUUUUCAAGGACAUGCAAUUGCACAGGGCCACAAACUAUCGCCCUGGCUGCUGCUCACUGCCACCUGUCCUAAGCAACUGAUCCAGCAGGAGGAAGGCAGCUGAAA
Molecule: long non-coding RNA, 532 nt
Filed under: Apteryx rowi (Okarito brown kiwi)
Lineage: Eukaryota; Metazoa; Chordata; Aves; Apterygiformes; Apterygidae
Description: lncRNA (ENSARWG00000005325.1)
Source: RNAcentral